Molecule: ribosomal RNA, 484 nt
Filed under: uncultured bacterium
Lineage: Bacteria
Description: partial 16S ribosomal RNA
Rfam family: Bacterial small subunit ribosomal RNA
Source: RNAcentral
AUUGAACGCUGGCGGCAUGCUUUACACAUGCAAGUCGAACGGCAGCGCGGGCUUCGGCCUGGCGGCGAGCGGCGAACGGGUGAGUAAUGCAUCGGAACGUGCCCAGUAGUGGGGGAUAGCCUGGCGAAAGCCGGAUUAAUACCGCAUACGACCUGAGGGUGAAAGCGGGGGACCGAAAGGCCUCGCGCUAUUGGAGCGGCCGAUGUCGGAUUAGCUAGUUGGUGGGGUAAAGGCUUACCAAGGCGACGAUCCGUAGCUGGUCUGAGAGGACGACCAGCCACACUGGGACUGAGACACGGCCCAGACUCCUACGGGAGGCAGCAGUGGGGAAUUUUGGACAAUGGGGGCAACCCUGAUCCAGCCAUGCCGCGUGCGGGAAGAAGGCCUUCGGGUUGUAAACCGCUUUUGUUCGGGAAGAAAUCCUCUGGGCUAAUACCCCGGGGGGAUGACGGUACCGGAAGAAUAAGCACCGGCUAACUACGUG